AGCGUCAUUGCACCCCUCAAGCGUAGCUGGUAUUGGGUCUUCGCCCCUGCGGCGUGCCCGAAAAGCAUUGGCGGUCCGGUGGGACUUCAAGCGUAGUAAAUUUUCUCCCGCUUUGGAAGCUCUCCCCGUGGCCUGCCAGACAACCACCAAACUUUUCAAUGAUUGACCUCGGAUCAGGUAGGGAUACCCGCUGAACUUAA
Molecule: unclassified non-coding RNA, 200 nt
Filed under: soil metagenome
Description: partial contains internal transcribed spacer 2 and large subunit ribosomal RNA
Source: RNAcentral